RNAcentral lists this long non-coding RNA (449 nucleotides) under Erythranthe guttata (spotted monkey flower). Its description in RNAcentral is "long non-coding RNA (EGUT_LNC000034)". The record is from RNAcentral. Lineage: Eukaryota; Viridiplantae; Streptophyta; Magnoliopsida; Lamiales; Phrymaceae.
GGAAAUAUAUGCAAAUUGAAAUUGCAUAGUACUUUUUAUAUUAUUAAUCUAUAUAUGAAUUUCUUCAUCUUCUUUUUUUUUUUAUAAAAAAGAAAGAAAGAAAAUAAUUAGCAAUCCCAAUUACACCAACAAAUCUGAGUCGGCAAAGCGGGCUCGAGAGAACGGCACCAUGCCUUUGCGUUGGGACCGUGGCGUUCUUGGCAAGCGUCCCAACAACUCUGUGCUGCCCUGUCACCUAAGCAAACCAGAUCCACCCAUGGAAGCCCUUCUUGACAUGUUUUUGCAUCCAUUAAUGGAAUAUUACUCAUAAUUACCACUGCCAUAAAACAAUAUUAACAUCUAAUUAAUAAUUAAUAAAGCAAGCAAUAAAAAUUAAAAAAAAAAAUGCUAUUUCAUAGUUACCUGACAACAGAAGAAAGCAACGAAUAGCUACAGAAAAUGUGGCUUUU